This 1271-nucleotide ribosomal RNA is filed under the name uncultured Aeromonas sp. RNAcentral describes it as "bacterial SSU rRNA". It matches the Rfam family "Bacterial small subunit ribosomal RNA", at positions 102 to 1398 of the family's 1533-position model. The record is from RNAcentral. Lineage: Bacteria; Pseudomonadati; Pseudomonadota; Gammaproteobacteria; Aeromonadales; Aeromonadaceae.
ACGGGUGAGUAAUGUUGGGAAAUUGCCCAGUCGAGGGGGAUAACAGUUGGAAACGACUGCUAAUACCGCAUACGCCCUACGGGGGAAAGCAGGGGACCUUCGGGCCUUGCGCGAUUGGAUAUGCCCAGGUGGGAUUAGCUAGUUGGUGAGGUAAUGGCUCACCAAGGCGACGAUCAUUGCUGGUCUGAGAGGAUGAUCAGCCACACUGGAACUGAGACACGGUCCAGACUCCUACGGGAGGACCGUGUUAAUAUUGCACAAUGGGGGAAACCCUGAUGCAGCCAUGCCGCGUGUGUGAAGAAGGCCUUCGGGUUGUAAAGCACUCAGCGAGGAGGAAAGGUCAGUAGCUAAUAUCUGCUGACUGUGACGUUACUCGCAAAGAAGCACCGGCUAACUCCCGUGCCAGCAGCCGCGGUAAUACGGAGGGUGCAGCGCCAGAAUUAAGGGCGUAAAGCGCACGCAGGCGGUUGGAUAAGUUAGAUGUGAAAGCCCGGGCUCAACCUGGGAAUUGCAUUUAAAACUGUCCAGCUAGAGUCUUGUAGAGGGGGGUAGAAUUCCAGGUGUAGCGGUGAAAUGCGUAGAGAUCUGGAGGAAUACCGGUGGCGAAGGCCUGGACAAAGACUGACGCUCAGGUGCGAAAGCGUGGGGAGCAAACAGGAUUAGACCACUGGUAGUCCACGCCGUAAACGAUGUCGAUUUGGAGGCUGUGUCCUUGAGACGUGGCUUCCGGAGCUAACGCGUUAAAUCGACCGCCUGGGGAGUACGGCCGCAAGGUUAUUAACUCAAAUGAAUUGACGGGGGCCCGCACAAGCGGUGGAGCAUGUGGUUUAAUUCGAUGCAACGCGAAGAACCUUACCUGGCCUUGACAUGUCUGGAAUCCUGUAGAGAUACGGGAGUGCCUUCGGGAAUCAGAACACAGGUGCUGCAUGGCUGUCGUCAGCUCGUGUCCACAGAUGUUGGGUUAAGUCCCGCAACGAGCGCAACCCCUGUCCUUUGUUGCCAGCACGUAAUGGUGGGAACUCAAGGGAGACUGCCGGUGAUAAACCGGAGGAAGGUGGUUAGACGUCAAGUCAUCAUGGCCCUUACGGCCAGGCUACACACGUGCUACAAUGGCGCGUACAGAGGGCUGCAAGCUAGCGAUAGUGUACCCCAAAAAGCGCGUCGUAGUCCGGAUUGGAGUCUUACUCGACUCCAUGAAGUCGGAACUGCUAGUAAUCGCAAAUCAGAAUGUUGCGGUGAAUACGUUCCCGGCCAUGUACACACCGCCCGUC